RNAcentral lists this ribosomal RNA (212 nucleotides) under Proteomonas sulcata. Its description in RNAcentral is "partial Bacterial small subunit ribosomal RNA". It matches the Rfam family "Bacterial small subunit ribosomal RNA", at positions 567 to 777 of the family's 1533-position model. Lineage: Eukaryota; Cryptophyceae; Pyrenomonadales; Geminigeraceae. The record is from RNAcentral.
CGUGCGUAGGCGGCUUCUUAAGUCGGAUGUGAAAUCCCUGAGCUUAACUUAGGAAUUGCAUUCGAUACUGGGAAGCUAGAGUAUGGGAGAGGAUGGUAGAAUUCCAGGUGUAGCGGUGAAAUGCGUAGAGAUCUGGAGGAAUACCGAUGGCGAAGGCAGCCAUCUGGCCUAAUACUGACGCUGAGGUACGAAAGCAUGGGGAGCAAACAGGA